Pelobates cultripes (western spadefoot toad) is the source of this 250-nucleotide non-coding RNA. NCBI's taxonomy places the organism in Eukaryota, Metazoa, Chordata, Amphibia, Anura, Pelobatidae. The record is from the annotation of a GenBank genome assembly.
GUUUCGGUAGAGCUCCGCAGCAACUGUGCCUAAAGCAUUCAAAAGCGACCUCAAAAAUCGAUAAACUACCCCUCACGGGAACCUCCGACAUGGAGAAGAGACCCCCUAAGAAGCAGGGGAAAAAAACGGCCGAAAUUGGGACCUCCAGCUCCGUCCUAGACCACUUCCCCAUGCACAAACAAGGCCGUGCAGGAAGUCAAGAUGGCGACGGGAGCUCCCCACAAAUAUCACCGAGGGCGGCCAGGGAAGC